AUAGAUCAGAAGCGAGAAUGUUGACAUGAGUAGCGACAAAGAGGGUGAGAGACCCUCUCGCCGAAAGUCCAAGGGUUCCUGCUUAAAGCUAAUCUGAGCAGGGUAAGCCGGCCCCUAAGGCGAGGCCGAAAGGCGUAGUCGAUGGGAACCAGGUUAAUAUUCCUGGGCCAGUGGGAUGUGACGGAUCUCGAAGAUUGUCUGCCCUUAUCGGAUUGGGUGGGCCGUUCAGAGGUUCCUGGAAAUAGCCCCACAUCAGACCGUACCCUAAACCGACACAGGUGGACUGGUAGAGUAUACCAAGGCGCUUGAGAGAACCACGUUAAAGGAACUCGGCAAAAUGCUCCCGUAAGUUCGCGAGAAGGGAGCCCCAUAUGUACGCAAGUAUGUGUGGGGGGCACAAACUAGGGGGUGGCGACUGUUUACUUAAAACACAGGGCUGUGCGAAGCCGUAAGGCGACGUAUACAGUCUGACGCCUGCCCGGUGCUGGAAGAUUAAGAGGAGGGGUGCAAGCUCUGAAUUGAAGUCCCAGUAAACGGCGGCCGUAACUAUAACGGUCCUAAGGUAGCGAAAUUCCUUGUCGGGUAAGUUCCGACCUGCACGAAUGGCGUAACGAUCUCCCCGCUGUCUCUAACGUGGACUCAGCGAAAUUGAACUGUCUGUCAAGAUGCAGACUACCCGCGGUUAGACGGAAAGACCCCAUGGACCUUUACUCCAGCUUUGCACUGGUAUCAGGAUUGUGAUGUGCAGGAUAGGUGGUAGGCAUUGAAGCGGGGACGCCAGUCUUCGUGGAGCCUCCCUUGAGAUACCACCCUUCGCCAUCUUGAUAUCUAACCGCGGCCCGUUAUCCGGGUCCGGGACCCUGCAUGGUGGGGAGUUUGACUGGGGCGGUCGCCUCCCAAAUUGUAACGGAGGCGCGCGAUGGUUGGCUCAGACCGGUCGGAAAUCGGUCGUUGAGUGCAAUGGCAGAAGCCAGCCUGACUGCAAGACUGACAAGUCGAGCAGAGACGAAAGUCGGUCAUAGUGAUCCGGUGGUCCCAAGUGGGAGGGCCAUCGCUCAACGGAUAAAAGGUACUCUGGGGAUAACAGGCUGAUGAUGCCCAAGAGUCCAUAUCGACGGCAUCGUUUGGCACCUCGAUGUCGGCUCAUCUCAUCCUGGGGCUGGAGCAGGUCCCAAGGGUAUGGCUGUUCGCCAUUUAAAGAGGUACGUGAGCUGGGUUUAGAACGUCGUGAGACAGUUCGGUCCCUAUCUGCCGUGGGUGCAGGAGACUUGAGAAGAGUUGACCCUAGUACGAGAGGACCGGGUUGAACGAACCACUGGUGGACCAGUUAUCGUGCCAACGGUAGUGCUGGGUAGCUAUGUUCGGACAGGAUAACCGCUGAAGGCAUCUAAGCGGGAAGCCCCCUUCAAAACAAGGUCUCCCUUG
Molecule: ribosomal RNA, 1425 nt
Filed under: metagenome
Description: bacterial LSU rRNA
Rfam family: Bacterial large subunit ribosomal RNA
Source: RNAcentral